This 500-nucleotide ribosomal RNA is filed under the name uncultured bacterium. RNAcentral's name for it is "bacterial SSU rRNA". It matches the Rfam family "Bacterial small subunit ribosomal RNA", at positions 899 to 1397 of the family's 1533-position model. The record is from RNAcentral.
ACUCAAAUGAAUUGACGGGGGCCCGCACAAGCAGCGGAGCAUGUGGUUUAAUUCGAAGCAACGCGAAGAACCUUACCAGGGCUUGACAUCCCUCUGACUGGUAUAGAGAUAUACCUUCUCUUCGGAGCAGAGGAGACAGGUGGUGCAUGGUUGUCGUCAGCUCGUGUCGUGAGAUGUUGGGUUAAGUCCCGCAACGAGCGCAACCCCUAUCUUUAGUUACCAGCACGUCAUGGUGGGGACUCUAGAGAGACUGCCGGGGAUAACUCGGAGGAAGGUGGGGAUGACGUCAAAUCAUCAUGCCCCUUAUGUCCUGGGCUACACACGUGCUACAAUGGCCUGUAACAAAGGGAAGCGAAGCUGUGAAGUGGAGCAAAACCCAGAAACCAGGUCUCAGUUCGGAUUGUGGGCUGCAACUCGCCCACAUGAAGUCGGAGUUGCUAGUAAUCGCGAAUCAGCAUGUCGCGGUGAAUGCGUUCCCGGGCCUUGUACACACCGCCCGU